Molecule: ribosomal RNA, 253 nt
Filed under: uncultured bacterium
Lineage: Bacteria
Description: partial 16S ribosomal RNA
Rfam family: Bacterial small subunit ribosomal RNA
Source: RNAcentral
UACAGAGGGGGCAAGCGUUGUUCGGAAUUACUGGGCGUAAAGGGCGCGUAGGCGGCCUUCUAAGUCGAACGUGAAAUCCCCGGGCUCAACCUGGGAACUGCCUUUGUGACUGCAAGGCUUGAGUGCGGCAGAGGGGGAUGGAAUUCCGCGUGUAGCAGUGAAAUGCGUAGAUAUGCGGAGGAACACCGAUGGCGAAGGCAAUCCCCCGGGCCUGCACUGACGCUCAUGCACGAAAGCGUGGGGAGCAAACAGG